RNAcentral lists this transfer RNA (100 nucleotides) under Burkholderiaceae bacterium. RNAcentral describes it as "tRNA-Lys". Lineage: Bacteria; Pseudomonadati; Pseudomonadota; Betaproteobacteria; Burkholderiales; Burkholderiaceae. The record is from RNAcentral.
GGGAAAUUAAAAAAUUAGAUGUCCGUGGAAAUCCAUGGACAUCUAAUAUUACGGACUUUUAAUCCGUUUGUCGUGGGUUCGACCCCCGCACAUCCCACCA